RNAcentral lists this ribosomal RNA (253 nucleotides) under uncultured bacterium. RNAcentral's name for it is "partial 16S ribosomal RNA". It matches the Rfam family "Bacterial small subunit ribosomal RNA", at positions 524 to 776 of the family's 1533-position model. The record is from RNAcentral.
UACAGAGGGUGCGAGCGUUAAUCGGAAUUACUGGGCGUAAAGCGUGCGUAGCCGGUUAUGUAAGUCGGGGGUGAAAGCCCAGGGCUCAACCCUGGAACUGCCUUCGAUACUGGGAGUCUUGAGUAUGGUAGAGGUUGGCGGAACUGCGAGUGUAGAGGUGAAAUUCGUAGAUAUUCGCAAGAACACCAGUGGCGAAGGCGGCCAACUGGACCAUUACUGACGCUGAGGUGCGAAAGCGUGGGGAGCAAACAGG